CAGUAGCCGCGGGAAUACGGAGGGGGCUAGCGUUGUUCGGAAUUACUGGGCGUAAAGCGCACGUAGGCGGCUUGGUAAGUUAGAGGUGAAAGCCUGGAGCUCAACUCCAGAAUUGCCUUUAAGACUGCCGAGCUAGCAGGUGAGAGAGGUAAGUGGAAUUCCGAGUGUAGAGGUGAAAUUCGUAGAUAUUCGGAAGAACACCAGUGGCGAAGGCGGCUUACUGGCUCAUACUGGACGCUGAGAUGCGAAAGCGUGGGGAGCAAACAGGAUUAGAUACCCCAGUAGUCCCUGUCUCUUAUAC
RNAcentral lists this ribosomal RNA (301 nucleotides) under uncultured bacterium. RNAcentral describes it as "partial 16S ribosomal RNA". It matches the Rfam family "Bacterial small subunit ribosomal RNA", at positions 509 to 807 of the family's 1533-position model. The record is from RNAcentral.